GGGCCUUGGUGGGGGGCGUGGGCGAAGUUCGUCCGCGGGACUCGGAAUGGCACCAGACUUGGCGGGCGGCCUCCGUGUGCCAAAAAUAGGCCACGGGCACAGCCGCGCCCAAAAAACAGCCCCAGAAGUUCGGGGUCCCAAGACCCACCAGCGGAAAAAUGGCCAAAAAACGGGUGGGCUAUAGCCUAGGUGGGGGGCGUGGGCGAAGUUCGUCCGCGGGACUCGGAAUGGCACCAGACUUGGCGGGCGGCCUCCGUGUGCCAAAAAUAGGCCCCGGGCACAGCCGCGCCCAAAAAACAGCCCCCGAAGUUCGGGGUCCCAAGACCCCCCAGCGGAAAAAUGGCCAAAAAACGGUGGGCUAUAGCCUUGGUGGGGGGCGUGGGCGAAGUUCGUCCGCGGGACUCGGAAUGGAACCAGACUUGGCGGGCGGCCUCUGUGUGCCAAAAAUAGGCCACGGGCACAGCCGCGCCCAAAAAACAGCCCCCGAAGUUCGGGGUCCCAAGACCCCCCAGCGGAAAAAUGGCCAAAAAACGGUGGGCUAUAGCCUUGGUGGGGGGCGUGGGCGAAGUUCGUCCGCGGGACUCGGAAUGGCACCAGACUUGGCGGGCGGCCUCCGUGUGCCAAAAAUAGGCCACGGGCACAGCCGCGCCCAAAAAACAGCCCCCGAAGUUCGGGGUCCCAAGACCCCCCAGCGGAAAAAUGGCCAAAAAACGGUGGGCUAUAGCCUUGGUGGGGGGCGUGGGCGAAGUUCGUCCGCGGGACUCGGAAUGGCACCAGACUUGGCGGGCGGCCUCCGUGUGCCAAAAAUAGGCCACGGGCACAGCCGCGCCCAAAAAACAGCCCCCGAAGUUCGGGGUCCCAAGACCCCCCAGCGGAAAAAUGGCCAAAAAACGGUGGGCUAUAGCCCUGGUGGGGGGCGUGGGCGAAGUUCGUCCGCGGGACUCGGAAUGGCACCAGACUUGGCGGGCGGCCUCCGUGUGCCAAAAAUAGGCCACGGGCACAGCCGCGCCCAAAAAACAGCCCCCGAAGUUCGGGGUCCCAAGACCCCCCAGCGGAAAAAUGGCCAAAAAACGGUGGGCUAUAGCCUUGGUGGGGGGCGUGAGCGAAGUUCGUCCGCGGGACUCGGAAUGGCACCAGACUUGGCGGGCGGCCUCCGUGUGCCAAAAAUAGGCCACGGGCACAGCCGCGCCAAAAAAACAGCCACCGAAGUUCGGGGUCCCAAGACCCCCCAGCGGAAAAAUGGCCAAAAAACGGGUGGGCUAUAGCCUUGGUGGGUGGCGCACAAAAGUUCGUCCGCGGGACUCGGAAUGGCACCAGACUUGGCGGGCGGCCUCCGUGUGCCAAAAAUAGGCCACGGGCACAGCCGCGCCCAAAAAACAGCCCCCGAAGUUCGGGGUCCCAAGACCCCCCAGCGGAAAAAUGGCCAAAACACGGGUGGGCUAUAGCCUUGGUGGGGGGCGUGGGCGAAGUUCGUCCGCGGGACUCGGAAUGGCACCAGACUUGGCGGGCGGCCUCCGUGUGCCAAAAAUAGGCCACGGGCACAGCCGCGCCCAAAAAACAGCCCCCGAAGUUCGGGGUCCCAAGACCCACCAGUGGAAAAAUGACCAAAAAAUGGUGGGCUAUUGCCUUGGUGGGGGGCGUGGGCGAAGUUCGUCCGCGGGACUCGGAAUGGCACCAGACUUGGCGGGCGGCCUCCGUGUGCCGAAAAUAGGCCACGGGGCACAGCCGCGCCCAAAAAAAAACCCCCGAAGUUCGGGGUCCCAAGACCCCCCAGCGGAAAAAUGGCCAAAAAACGGUGGGCUAUAGCCUUGGUGGGGUGCGUGGGCGAAGUUCGUCCGCGGGACUCGGAAUGGCACCAGACUUGGCGGGCGGCCUCCGUGUGCCAAAAAUAGGCCACGGGCACAGCCGCGCCCAAAAAACAGCCACCGAAGUUCGGGGUCCCACGACCCCCCAGCGGAAAAAUGGCCAAAAAACGGGUGGGCUAUAGCCUUGGUGGGUGGCGCCCAAAAGUUCGUCCGCUGGACUCGGAAUGGCACCAGACCUGGCGGGCGGCCUCCGUGUGCCAAAAAUAGGCCACGGGCACAGCCGCGCCCAAAAAACAGCCCCCGAAGUUCGGGGUCCCAAGACCCCCCAGCGGAAAAAUGGCCACAAAACGGGUGGGCUAUAGCCUUGGUGGGGGGCGUGGGCGAAGUUCGUCCGCGGGACUCGGAAUGGCACCAGACUUGGCGGGCGGCCUCCGUCUGCCAAAAAUAGGCCACGGGCACAGCCGCGCCCAAAAAACAGCCCCCGAAGUUCGGGGUCCCAAGACCCCCCAGCGGAAAAAUGACCAAAAAAUGGUGGGCUAUAGCCUUGGUGGGGGGCGUGGGCAAAGUUCGUCCGCGGGACUCGGAAUGGCACCAGACUUGGCGGGCGGCCUCCGUGUGCCAAAAAUAGGCCACGGGCACAGCCGCGCCCAAAAAACAACCCCCGAAGUUCGGGGUCCCAAGACCCCCCAGCGGAAAAAUGGCCAAAAAACGGAGGGCUAUAGCCUUGGUGGGGUGUGUGGGCGAAGUUCGUCCGCGGGACUCGGAAUGGCAACAGACUUGGCGGGCGGCCUCCGUGUGCCAAAAAUAGGCCACGGGCACAGCCGCGCCCAAAAAACAGCCCCCGAAGUUCGGGGUCCCAAGACCCCCCAGCGGAAAAAUGGCCAAAAAACGGGUGGGCUAUAGCCUUGGUGGGGGGCGUGGGCGAAGUUCGUCCGCGGGACUCGGAAUGGCACCAGACUUGGCGGGCGGCCUCCGUGUGCCAAAAAUAGGCCACGGGCACAGCCGCGCCCAAAAAACAGCCCCCGAAGUUCGGGGUCCCAAGACCCCCCAGCGGAAAAAUGGCCAAAAAACGGGUGGGCUAUAGCCUUGGUGGGGGGCGUGGGCGAAGUUCGUCCGCGGGACUCGGAAUGGCACCAGACUUGGCGGGCGGCCUCCGUGUGCCAAAAAUAGGCCACGGGCACAGCCGCGCCCAAAAAACAACCCCCGAAGUUCGGGGUACCAAGACCCCCCAGCGGAAAAAUGGCCAAAAAA
Molecule: long non-coding RNA, 3056 nt
Filed under: Citrus x clementina
Lineage: Eukaryota; Viridiplantae; Streptophyta; Magnoliopsida; Sapindales; Rutaceae
Description: Citrus clementina (C. clementina) long non-coding RNA (CCLE_LNC005878)
Source: RNAcentral